ACGGCGGCUGACAAUUUCCGAGUUAGGCCACUCUUAUAAUCAGUGGCCAAACUCGGAAAUUGUCUGCCGCCGU
Molecule: microRNA precursor, 73 nt
Organism: Caenorhabditis elegans
Lineage: Eukaryota; Metazoa; Nematoda; Chromadorea; Rhabditida; Rhabditidae
Source: Ensembl